RNAcentral lists this ribosomal RNA (253 nucleotides) under uncultured bacterium. RNAcentral's name for it is "partial 16S ribosomal RNA". It matches the Rfam family "Bacterial small subunit ribosomal RNA", at positions 524 to 776 of the family's 1533-position model. The record is from RNAcentral.
UACGUAGGGCGCAAGCGUUGUCCGGAAUUAUUGGGCGUAAGGAGCUCGUAGGUGGCUUGUCGCAUCUGCCGUGAAAGCCCAUGGCUUAACUAUGGGUCUGCGGUGGAUACGGGCAGGCUAGAGGCUGGUAGGGGCAAGCGGAAUUCCUGGUGUAGCGGUGAAAUGCGCAGAUAUCAGGAGGAACACCGGUGGCGAAGGCGGCUUGCUGGGCCAGUUCUGACGCUGAGGAGCGAAAGCGUGGGGAGCGAACAGG